RNAcentral lists this ribosomal RNA (468 nucleotides) under uncultured bacterium. RNAcentral's name for it is "partial 16S ribosomal RNA". It matches the Rfam family "Bacterial small subunit ribosomal RNA", at positions 28 to 507 of the family's 1533-position model. The record is from RNAcentral.
GACGAACGCUGGCGGCGUGCUUAACACAUGCAAGUCGAACGGAAAGGCCCUGCUUUUGUUGGGUGCUCGAGUGGCGAACGGGUGAGUAACACGUGAGUAACAUGCCCUUGUCUUUGGGAUAACUUCAGGAAACUGGGGCUAAUACCGGAUAGGGGCUCCUGCUGCAUGGUGGGGGUUGGAAAGUUUCGGCGGUUGUGGAUGGUCUAGCGGCUUCUCCGCUUGUUGGUGGGGUAGUGGCUUACCAAGGUUUUGACGGGUAGCCGGCCUGGGAGGGUGGCCGGCCACAUGGGGACUGAGAGACGGCCCAGACGCGUACGGGAGGCAGCAGGGGGGAAUAUUGCACAAUGGGCGGAAGCCUGAGACAGCAACGCCGCGUUCGGGAUGACGGCCUUCGGGGUGUAAACAGCUUUCGCCUGUGACGAAGCGUGAGUGACGGUAAUGGGUAAAGAAGCACCGGCUAACUACGUG